UGACAGCUGCUCUCUUCUCUGGAAU
This 25-nucleotide non-coding RNA is filed under the name Rattus norvegicus (Norway rat). The record is from RNAcentral. Lineage: Eukaryota; Metazoa; Chordata; Mammalia; Rodentia; Muridae.